GGUGGGUAGUUUGACUGNGGCGUCUCCUCCUAAAGAGUAACUAUAA
Molecule: ribosomal RNA, 46 nt
Filed under: Escherichia coli
Lineage: Bacteria; Pseudomonadati; Pseudomonadota; Gammaproteobacteria; Enterobacterales; Enterobacteriaceae
Description: partial 23S ribosomal RNA
Source: RNAcentral